GUAGUGCACUCCUACGGGAGGCAGCAGUGGGGAAUAUUGCACAAUGGGCGCAAGCCUGAUGCAGCCAUGCCGCGUGUAUGAAGAAGGCCUUCGGGUUGUAAAGUACUUUCAGCAGUGAGGAAGGUGGGUAUGUUAAUAGCAUACUCAUUUGACGUUAGCUGCAGAAGAAGCACCGGCUAACUCCGUGCCAGCAGCCGCGGUAAUACGGAGGGUGCGAGCGUUAAUCGGAAUUACUGGGCGUAAAGCGCAUGCAGGUGGUUUGUUAAGUCAGAUGUGAAAGCCCGGGGCUCAACCUCGGAAUUGCAUUUGAAACUGGCAAACUAGAGUACUGUAGAGGGGGUAGAAUUUCAGGUGUAGCGGUGAAAUGCGUAGAGAUCUGAAGGAAUACCGGUGGCGAAGGCGGCCCCCUGGACAGAUACUGACACUCAGAUGCGAAAGCGUGGGGAGCAAACAGGAUUAGAUACCCUGGUAG
Molecule: ribosomal RNA, 472 nt
Filed under: uncultured bacterium
Lineage: Bacteria
Description: bacterial SSU rRNA
Rfam family: Bacterial small subunit ribosomal RNA
Source: RNAcentral